AUAUUUACCUGGCAGGGGAGACAUCAUGAUUAUGAAGGUAGUUUUCCCAGGGCAAGGCUUGUCCAUUGCACUCUGGAUGUGCUGACCCCUGCAAUUUCCCCAAAUGUGGGAAACUCAACUGCAUAAUUUGUGGUAGUGGGGGACUGCAUUCACGCUUUCCCCUU
Small nuclear RNA from Camelus dromedarius (Arabian camel), 164 nucleotides. Its record names the gene U1. It matches the Rfam family "U1 spliceosomal RNA". Rfam says of the family: U1 is a small nuclear RNA (snRNA) component of the spliceosome (involved in pre-mRNA splicing). Its 5' end forms complementary base pairs with the 5' splice junction, thus defining the 5' donor site of an intron. There are significant differences in sequence and secondary structure between metazoan and yeast U1 snRNAs, the latter being much longer (568 nucleotides as compared to 164 nucleotides in human). The record is from Ensembl. NCBI's taxonomy places the organism in Eukaryota, Metazoa, Chordata, Mammalia, Artiodactyla, Camelidae.